RNAcentral lists this long non-coding RNA (3155 nucleotides) under Panax ginseng (ginseng). Its description in RNAcentral is "long non-coding RNA (PGIN_LNC015931)". Lineage: Eukaryota; Viridiplantae; Streptophyta; Magnoliopsida; Apiales; Araliaceae. The record is from RNAcentral.
AUUUAAAUGCUUGUAAUUUAAAUAAAAUAUAUAGUGGACAAUUCAUGAAAGGAAUUAUAUCUCUAUAUACACUGCAUGUGCUAAAAGAAAGCUUUCCCACUUCAAAGAUAGCGAAAAAAAAUACUGUGACGCCCUCAAAUCCUGGUUCCCUAACCUAGAGUUUUGUGCUCACGAUCCAUCAUACAUAUCAUAUCUAACUACCCAUUCAGUGGUGAAUUACAUCAUUCAUACCAUUACUUAAUACAAAUUAUAACAAUCUCCCAUGUUAACUAACCUUAAAAUAACUUACAUAACCUUAGAUACUCCAAAAGGUUUACAUAAUUAAUUUAUAUAAAGUAACAUAAUAAUUAAAGUUCACAAUAACUACUUUGAACUUUGCCUUUGUCUUUCUUUGACCCUUUGGCUACCUCAUCCUUAGCUGAAAUGUUUUAUUUAAGCAAGGGUGAGCAACGAGUUUACUCAGCAAGUUAAAUCGUACAAUUAAAGAUAUAGAAGAAUCUAACUUUCUAGAAUGUUAACAAUGCUCAAAAGAUUUCGAAGUAGCUGAACAAUAAAUAAUUUUUAAUAACAAGAAUUUUCUUGAAUUCCAGAAUAAAUAACAUUUCGAGAAUGAAAGAAUUAAAUUCGUUUGAAGAUUAAGUAAGAUUCAUUUGAUUAGGAACAAUUAACAAUAAUGCAACAAUAUUUAAUAAAAUGAGAUAUUCCCAUAUUUCAUGCUGAGUGAUCACAAAUGGAUCAAGAAUAAAUAGAAGAAUUAUCAGUUAAUUAAUACGGAAUUACCUCAAGAGUAUCAGUUAACCAUAAAGAUUAAAUCAUACUCUUCUGCGAGUACAUGAAGUGAUCAGCCUCAUUGUACCCUAUAUUAUGUAUAAUACUCAAAAAUAGCGCAAGGGUCGGAUGUCCGACAAUAAAGUUCCCCUUUUAAAAAGGGUUGUUCAUCUCAGUCUUACAUCAUGAGUCCGUACCACAACAAUAUGGUUUUGAUUGCUUUCAAAGAAAUGUUAUGAUUUAAACAUAUAAUAUCAAUAUUGAUCUAGCCGAAAUAAAUGGUAUAAAUCUUUCAAUAACAACUUCGUUUAAAUAAUAGAACGAUUCAUCAAUUAUUAGUCUAGCCGAAAUGAAUAGUUGAGACAUGGCUCAUAAACAGUUUAUGAAUAAAAGAACUUUAAAUUUAUUUCACAGUUCAAAUAAUAGAUCAUGAAAUCAAAUGCACUAUGUGCAAAUAAUAAUAAUCAUUAUAGAUGUGAAUAAUCAACAAUAAUUAUCCACUAAUCAUGCUUUGAAAUUAAUAACUCAAGUUGAGUUAUAAAACUUGCCUUGGUCGUUGACUAAUGCUACACAAUUUAAUUUAACUUCGUUUGAAAGACUUAUUAUUAGUAAUAUUGAUCUCUCAAUUAGCAUAACAUAUUAUAACUCAUAAUACUACUUUUCUUAUAAUAAAUAAUCUAACAUGUAAUCAUGUAAUCAAACAUUCAAUAAUACCUUACUCAUUAGGAGUAUUAUCAUUCUUUGAUAAUACUAUUAUCAUAUAACCAUUGUCUUAAACUCUUGUCUAAUAUUAUUAAUCCUUUAAUAAAGUUUUAUUCACUUUCUAAUAUUAUUAACCAUUUAAUAAUAUUUUAAUCUCUUAUUAAUAUUAUUAAUCAUUUAAUAAUAUUUUAGUCACUUGAUAAUAUUAUUAACCACUUAACAAUAUUGCGUACAUUAAUCACAUCUUAUCCAAUUACUAAUAUUAUUAAUCACUUAAUAAUAUUUUAAUCAAUAUUUAAUAUCUUAACCAUUCAUAAAUUUGAUUAACCAUUUAAUAAUAUUUUAAUCAAUUAAUAAUAUUAUUUUAAAUUUAAUCUAAUAUUAUUGAUCAUUUAAUAAUAUUUUAAUUUUACUCUAAUAUAAUAUUAUUAAUCAUUUAAUAAUAUUUUAAUUCAAUUUUAAUCUAAAUAUUAUUAAUUACUUAAUAAUAUCUUAAACUAAUAUUAUUAAGCUCAUAAUAAUAUUUUAAUCAUUUAUUAAACUAAUAAAUAAUUAAUUCCAAUUGUUUACCCUUUACUAAUUCAUUCAUUUAACAACUCUAAAAUGCCAUAAAUACAACAUCACCUCAACAAUGACCAAAAUACCUUUCAAAAAUCUGAACACACCAUAUUUAGGGUCUCUAAGCCAUAAAAUUAUAGUUUUGUCAUUUAUGACAUCACAUUACUUAUUUUAUUCAUUUAUUCACAACUCAAUCAUUAACAUGAAAAAUACCAAAUCAUCUCCAAAUAUAUUUAUUUUCUAGACAAUACCAGUAUAUGGUAUCAUGAUGAACGUAUAAUAUUUCUAAAAUUUUUGAAUUUCAUUUACUAUUUUUAAAAUGACCAAAAUAGCCAGAUCUUGUAACAAUUAUCAUGAACAGUUUUAAAGUCCAAAAAUUACGAAAUUUUCAGGAGAUGUUUCUGUUAUGUAUAUGUACUUACAGUAAAAAUUUCACAAUGUUUGGAGUUAUACAGAAAAAGUUAUUUUGGUUUACUUUUAAAAUAGUACUUUCUUAUAAAAUCCAUAACUCUUAUUCUACACAUCUAAAAAUUUUCAUCUUUGGACCGGAUCUAGAUAACUUAUUAUACUAUCCUACCAAAGUUUUACAGAAUUUUUAAAGUUAAGAAAAAUAAUGAAACUGCCCCUGGGAUGAACUGAUCCAAAACAGUCUUUUUCCUCUUUUUGAAAAAUCUGGACUGUUUUCACCAAAACAGCUCCCAAGGCUUGUAAAAUCAACAUAUUUGAGUGCUACCACUUGGGUUUAAAAGUUAACUUACACAUCUAUCACCCCUCUUUGACCUAUCACAAAUAGCAGGUGUAGAUUUUAAAUGUUGGAUUUUUAAAGUAACAUUCUCAAAUCUAAAACAUAGUUUUCAUUUUCUUCAUUUGAUUAAGGAUUCCAACACCCAAAAUGGUUAGAUCUAAACAUAAAACACUUAUUAACAUAUAAAUCUAAGGUUUUUGAGUUUGAAAAUAUAAGCUCAUGAUCUUAUAAAAAAUAACCACAAGGGAAUACCUUUUUGGUUGGAUGGUCUCCUCCUCCUACCAAGCUAGAUGGUAUGAAGAAAAUUUUCUUCUUUCUCCCUCGUUACCCACGGAUUCUCUCUCUUUUUUCUUCUCUUUUUAUUUUAUUUUUCUUAGCUUUU